RNAcentral lists this long non-coding RNA (4453 nucleotides) under Mus musculus (house mouse). RNAcentral describes it as "RIKEN cDNA 2700054A10 gene". Lineage: Eukaryota; Metazoa; Chordata; Mammalia; Rodentia; Muridae. The record is from RNAcentral.
UACACGUUCACUGCUGGAGGCAGAGGCCUCUUCAGGUUCCCAGUGGAAGAUGGGCUGUCAUGGAAGCGCACCCCCAUCUCCGCUCACCCUGGCUGUGCUCCUUGAAGGUUUAUUUAAGGUUCUCUGCUGUCCACUGAGUUUGUGAAGCCCCCUGACUGUGAAGCCUAAGGAGAGGACCUGCCUGCCUGGUUGCUCAGCGUUUGCAGGACAUGAGCCACAGUCCAGUCUCCUGACCUCACCCCACCUCGAGUCAUUUAUUGUAAGAAGAAAAGGAUGGUCCAUUUUCAAAGGAGCCAUUCGCUAGUGACUUCAGGCCUGGCUACAGGUAGAUAGGCAGAGAACAGAAAGGUUGGUGAACUUCAGAAGAACCUUGCCUGGCACGUUCUACAUUCUGUGUGCUACUAUUCCCUACCAUGCCCAGGACACACUAAAAGGGGCUUGCCGAAACAGAGAGAACAUGACAAGAGUUUUUCUAUAUAGCCUUGGCUUUCCUGGAACAUGCUCUGUAGCAUUUUCAAGGCAGGCCUCGAACCCACAGAGAUCUGCCCACCUCUGAGUCUUGACUUUCAAUAACUGGAUGAGUGGAGACAAAGGCUCCUCCAUUCUUUAGCUUCAAGACAUAUCACAGACUGAGAUGCCUCUUUGCUCAGCCUUUUGGUGAACACAUCAAACACAAUGCCAGGUCACCGGGUACAUCCAAUGCUCAGACACCGAGGUCAACAAUGAACCUGCUACUUUCGGUCCACGCAGUGUGCUGACACCCAGUUUCACUUGUCUGCUGGGAAGACCCCGCUCUGACCAUCCGUGAAUGGUUCACCAGCUUCCACGCCUGCUUUGGUAAUGUGCUCAGUUUAAGGAUUUUCCAUUCAUUUCUAGCUCUGCCCAGCAGCCCAGUGUAGACACAUACUUGUCACGUCUUUCAGUGAUGAAGCCCUGAUCUUCAGAGACAGCUAUACUGGCUCCAGCUUCUCUUGGGACCUUCAGGACUUGGCCAGAUGUGUUCCAUGAAUCAUUCUCUGAAACUAGAAUUCCCACCCCUAGUCUUCUCCAAGCCACCUUCCCCUCCCUUUUGAGCCGUAACUCCCUAUAGAGAUGGCCGGAGUCCCUUAAGAUCAAUUACUCUGGCAACAGAAAAACAGAUUUUAAUGAGAUCACCCAGCUCUGGGAUGUGUCGGGCGGGCAUGCGGUGGGAAGAGCGAGCUGAGGUUGCCUUGAUCACUUAUGCCGCCUCAGCAGCCACUCCUUACAGAACCCCAGGUUUGCUUGGUCUGGUAGCUGUGUAGGUAGGUGGGGAAAUACAGUUCUGCCCUGGGGACACUGAUGUGCAAUCCCAGUCACUGUAGAUAGAGAGGCGACAGUGUAAGGACCAAGGUCAGUCACAGCCCAGCAUCCUUUCUCUGCUCUCGAGGUCCAUCCAUCUCCGAUGUCAAGUGGCCCUCUUGCUACAAGGCUCCUAUCUGCCCUUAGAUAACAAGAAAGAAGAUAUUAAAGUAGGAAUUUCAUGUGUCAGUCGAUGCCGCAUUCUCAAGCAAAGAACACAGGAGCAUGAAGGAUGUGGCCACCAGGAACCGGGAAGGAGCCACCUCCUCCUUGUGGCCCAGGGGUUGGGGUGAUCAAACUUAACUGGAGGGAGAUGGGUGUUGCGUGACUUUUCCUGGGGACAUCUGACCAAGUGUUCACUCCAGAGAGAAGAUGAUGGUGACAAAUCAACCAAGUGACCUCACCUACUUCUAGUGACCCAGUGUUCUUAUUGGGGUCACCACAGAAAUGCCAGGUCACCAUGAGUUAGGACUCCUGAAAGCUGCAUCCCUGGGCGGCGCACUUGUGAGCAGUUGCAGGUGGGGUCUCCUCUGCCUAUCAGUGUCGAUCCUUACAUAACCUUGAGAGGGGUUAUGAGAAUUCUCGUAGUAUUCAGUAGCUCUGGGGCUUUUAGCUUUCAUGGACUCCCCAGGUGUCUGAAGUCUUCCUUUUCCUUCUAGAAGGGAUGUUUCAGCUGGGAGGAAAUAACUAUACAACAUGAUGUGAUUAAGAGAGAAGCCUGAGGGAGCAAUGCGAGUCCCCUGGAGGCAGUGGCUGGUAGGGUCCCCUGUGGGCUCCUGUUCUGCCCCCAGCUUGUGGCACUGUUUUGAAGGCUGUGGAGUUUUUAGAAGAUCGGGGUUGGACUGGUAGAGCUGGGUCAUUAAAGCCUUCCAUGCUUGUGCUCACUGUGGUUCCAGACUUCUUUUCUGUGCUUCUCGGUUAGACAUGAUGUGAGCAGUCGCUGCCACGUGUUCCUGCUGCCUCUUCAGCCUCCACGCCUUACACUGUAAUGGGCUGCACUCUCUCAGAAACUGCAAGCAAAAUGAACCCGACUCUCAAGUUGCAUUGUUUGGAUGCUUGGUCACAGUGAUGUGGAACAUUCCUAUCCAAGAACUAUAGGAAAGGGGCCGACUGACCAGGAGUCGGUCAGAGAGUGAUUAUAGAAGGUGCACUAUCAGAGCAGACAUCUUCUUAAGCCAGAUGGGAGUGAGCAUGGGAGGUUUGUAGUAUCAGUUCUUGGUUGGUUGUUAAGGAGGGGUGUGUGUGUGUGUGUGUGUGUGUGUGUGUGUGUGUGUGUGUGUGUGUGUUUAGUGGUACAGGCAUGUGUAGACACACCCACAAACAUGCCAGCACACCAUUGCUAUGGUUCAGAUCACAGGGAGGUGGGUGAGGGAAAAGCAGAAGGCCAGCUGGGGUUUGUCUUUGACUUAGGUCACACUCUGCCACUGCAGGAAGUCAGAGCGGGAGCUCAAGACAGGAGCCCAGAGGCAGGAGCUGAAGCAAAACCCCUGGGAUUGCUGGCUUGUUCAGUUUGCUUUCUUAUGCUCCCCAGGACCAGACCUGCCCAGGUUGACAUUGUCUGUCCCCAACUUACCCCCCAUAGGCUGAGUUUACCCACAACCAUUAAUCAAGAGAACGUCUAUAGACUUUUCUACAGGCAAUCUGAUAGAGGCAUUGUUUUUUUCUUCAAUUGAGUUUCCUUUCCCCAGAUAACUCUAGCUUGUGUCAUGUUGACAAAAACCAACCAGACAACUCUCUCCCAAGAAGGCUGUUCUAUCACUGGAGGCUGCCCAGCCCCCAGGGUGCCAUAACAAAGCCCCUCACAGGGCCACACACUUAAGGGCAUGGUGCCCACAGGACCACACUCUUCCCUCCCAAACCUGCAGUGCCCACUGGGCAACACCUCUUCCUUUCAAAGGCUAUAGUGUCCACAGAGCCACAUUCCUUCCAUCCAGGAGUUUGCCUUUGCCACUUCCAGCUGCUGGUGACAAAAGCAUGUCCUAAAUAUAGUCACAAGUCAGAGCACAGUAAGAGAGAUAGGAGAAACCAUUUGGCUCCAUGUCCUAAAGAUCUGUCAUCGGCCUCAAAUAGCCCUGGAAGGAGUCUGCCUCCACGCUGUAUCCACUAUGGCCUUAACCGGUCAAGGGCUCAAACGCUCCUGCUUAUGGUUGGCUCUCCGCCCACUUGUCCCUGGGAUGUUCUUGCUUUGUGUUGCUACCCUCCUCACACAGCCAGCAAGGUCAGUGUAAAAGGUCACUGCUCCCUAAUGUCAAAAUUUUCCUGAUGACCUGCUCUGGCCUUUCUCAACUGCUACUUCACCCUGAAGUCAUUGGAGUCCUUGGAUGGCCUCAUCUCCAGGUCCUGAGUACAGUUGCCUAGGGCUGAGGUCAGGGAGGAGUGUCCCUGAUGGGGUAUGCAGUUCUCCUUACCCUUGAGCUCAUCUAUGGCAGCCAAGUCUAAGGUAUAUAAGUAGUGCUGGCAUUUCCACACUGCUUUGGCGAGCACUGGGCUCAGCUCUUUCUGCCCAGUGGGAAUCUUUGAAGAGAGGAAUUCUUAGCACAUUGCAGACAGCGCCCCCUCUGCCUCCUUUUAGAAGGCCAGCACAUGGAUUUCCACAGAACCCCAGGAUUCCCAGAAGCCCAUGUGGGUCAAACGUCCUUACUGUCCCUCUAAGGAGAAAGGGCUCUCCUUACAAUAAGCAUGUAGGUAAACUGCAGGGGGAGGUGGUGAAAGAGUAGUAAACUCAGUGCUCCAAGGUAUGCUAAUCAUAAAACAGAUAGCGACAUUCCUUCCUCCACCCACCCGAUUCCUGGGUUCAAAGGGUGUUCAUUCAAAGAAAGUCACCCUGACCCACCCUGACCAUUGCUGUAACCCACUAUGCAAAAGUGCUAUUGCUAGGGGCUCUUAGAUUGUUAGGGGCUCUUAGAAACUGUCUUGAGAGAUAACCUGACACUUGUGACUUUGUACUUCCUUGUGAUUCUUAACUGGUAUUUUUGGUAUUUUCCAACAACGCCCUUCCCACCUCCUUGAGUUGUGGUUCCUUCCUUUAAAUACCCCCUUACUCAGCUACUCGGGGCGCCACGGUCCUCUACCCCUGCGUGGUGUAUGACCGUGGGCCCGAGAGUGCUCUUGAAUAAAAAUCCUCUUGCAGCAA